RNAcentral lists this ribosomal RNA (497 nucleotides) under uncultured bacterium. Its description in RNAcentral is "partial 16S ribosomal RNA". It matches the Rfam family "Bacterial small subunit ribosomal RNA", at positions 28 to 507 of the family's 1533-position model. The record is from RNAcentral.
GAUGAACGCUGGCGGCGUGCCUAAUACAUGCAAGUCGAGCGAACAGACGAGGAGCUUGCUCCUCUGACGUUAGCGGCGGACGGGUGAGUAACACGUGGAUAACCUACCUAUAAGACUGGGAUAACUUCGGGAAACCGGAGCUAAUACCGGAUAAUAUAUUGAACCGCAUGGUUCAAUAGUUAAAGACGGUUUUGCUGUCACUUAUAGAUGGAUCCGCGCCGCAUUAGCUAGUUGGUAAGGUAACGGCUUACCAAGGCAGCGAUGCGUAGCCGACCUGAGAGGGUGUUCGGCCACACUGGAACUGAGACACGGUCCAGACUCCUACGGGAGGCAGCAGUAGGGAAUCUACCGCAAUGGGCGAAAGCCUGACGGAGCAACGCCGCGUGAGUGAUGAAGGUCUUCGGAUCGUAAAACUCUGUUAUUAGGGAAGAACAAAUGUGUAAGUAACUAUGCACGUCUUGACGGUACCUAAUCAGAAAGCCACGGCUAACUACGUG